UAUGUGAUCGUCUCUCGCAUAUCAAUAAGCGGAGGAAAAGAAACUAAUAAGGAUUCCCCUAGUAACGGCGAGUGAAGCGGGAAGAGCUCAAAUUUGAAAUCUUAAAGGGUUUCCCUUUACGAAUUGUAGUUUAAAGAAGUGUUUUCUGUUGAGGUUUUGGUAAAAGUUCUUUGGAAUAGGACAUCAUAGAGGGUGAGAAUCCCGUAUUUGACCUUUACUUUCAACUUUGUGAUACACUUUCAAAGAGUCGGAUUGUUUGGGAAUGCAGUCCAAAAUGGGUGGUAAAUUUCAUCUAAAGCUAAAUAUUGGCGAGAGACCGAUAGCGAACAAGUACCGUGAGGGAAAGAUGAAAAGAACUUUGAAAAGAGAGUUAAACAGUACGUGAAAUUGUCAAAAGGGAAGCGUUUGACACCAGUGUUGUUUUUCUGAAAAUCAAUUAAAGAACUGUUUAUGCUAAGCUGUUUAGACUUUAUCAGCUAACUGUUUAGUUUUGAGCUUUUCUUUAAUGCACUUUUCAGUUAACAAGUCAACAUCAAUUUCUUUUGCUGUAAAAAAGCUUGAGGAAGGUGGCUUGAGAUUCGUCUUAAGUGUUUAUAGCCUCUUGCCUAUGCAGUCGGAGAGAUUGAGGUCUGCAGCGUAGAUCCUUCGGGGCUAAAUGCAUUUGUGCUAAGUUAUAGCAUUUUAUAGACAACUUGUUGACUAUGAUUUGUCUUGUAGCUUACUCGCUUAUGUUAUUUUACCUACGCUUAGGAUGUUGAUCUGUAGUGCGUGCGC
This 774-nucleotide ribosomal RNA is filed under the name uncultured Neocallimastigales. RNAcentral describes it as "partial large subunit ribosomal RNA". It matches the Rfam family "Eukaryotic large subunit ribosomal RNA", at positions 24 to 646 of the family's 3401-position model. The record is from RNAcentral. Lineage: Eukaryota; Fungi; Neocallimastigomycota; Neocallimastigomycetes; Neocallimastigales.